RNAcentral lists this ribosomal RNA (210 nucleotides) under Triticum aestivum (bread wheat). Its description in RNAcentral is "partial small subunit ribosomal RNA". Lineage: Eukaryota; Viridiplantae; Streptophyta; Magnoliopsida; Poales; Poaceae. The record is from RNAcentral.
AUGUGUGCUCCAAAAGAUCAAGGACGUAUGGCCUUCCAAGAUAUACAUUGUUUCAGCCUGGCAUUAUUAGCUAAACAAGCGUGACGUGUCCUUGAUAAUCCCGAUUCUUUAUGUGCCACUAUCUUGAGAUAUAAGUAUUUCCCUAUCGGCGAUAUGGAUGCAAGUUUAAGGAAGGGAUCCUCUUUUACUUGGCAAAGCAUUAUGGCGUGA